GGGCGUCAUGUGGGCUUAGUAGGCGUGCUGCAUGGGCGCUUGACAUCGAAAUUUAAAUAAGAAGCGGGGCAUUUCCCCUCUUUUUGGACAUAAGGCUGGCUUCAUGGGCUGAUCUGGGCGGAAGACAUUAUUAGGUGGGGAGUUUGGCUGGGGCGGCACAUCUGUUAAAAGAUAGUGCAUGUGUCCUAAGAUGAGCUCAGUGAGAACAGAAAUCUCGUGUGGAACAGAAGGGUAAAAGCUCAUUUGAUUCUGAUUUCCAGUACGAAUACAAACUGUGAAAGUGUGGCCUAACGAUCCUUUAGACCUUCGGAAUUCGAAGCUAGAGGUGACAUAAAGGUUACC
Molecule: non-coding RNA, 342 nt
Filed under: Solanum lycopersicum (tomato)
Lineage: Eukaryota; Viridiplantae; Streptophyta; Magnoliopsida; Solanales; Solanaceae
Description: Eukaryotic large subunit ribosomal RNA
Rfam family: Eukaryotic large subunit ribosomal RNA
Source: Rfam by way of RNAcentral